This is a long non-coding RNA of Triticum dicoccoides, 2792 nucleotides long. RefSeq lists it as uncharacterized. Lineage: Eukaryota; Viridiplantae; Streptophyta; Magnoliopsida; Poales; Poaceae. The transcript has 7 exons. The record is from RefSeq and is a predicted model, not a curated record.
AAAACGGCAUCAAACCCAGCCCCACGCCCCUCACUCCUCCCUCCUCCUCCUCCUCCUUCUUCUACGCCGUAGGAGCCUCGCCGCCGCCUGCUACUCCUCCACCGCCUCGCCUCUUUCUCCUCCCUGCCUUCCCAUCGCUCGCGUGCAGGCCAUCGUGGCCACGCGCUUCACGGGCGAACCUGAUUUCCAACGCCUGCUCCGGGUUUGCGCAGGACGGGCUCCCCUGCAUCCUCCUCCUCGCGGCCGAGGACGACACCUUCGGAGUGAGCUGCGGCGCACGAUUCGAUCUGCGGGAGAGAGAGAAGAUGAGAGGGAGAAGAUGGAAGGAGAGGAGGGAGAAAGAGAGAGAGAGAGGAAAGAGGAGAAGGAGGCGCCGUCGUCCCCUCCACCCAGCCAGCCGUCGCCGCACCUCCUCCACCCGGCCAGCCGCCGCCACUCGCGCCCGUCUCCUCCGGCCAGCCUCCGCCCGCAACCUCCCCCCUCCCGUUUUCACAAGGGAAGGGAAGGUAAGAGACGAGGGAGAGCGAGCGGGUCAGGCGACGGGAAGGGAAGAGGAGAGGAGAGGAAGCCUUGCCGCUGGUCUAGGAGGAGCUCAUCUGCCUGCUUUGAGAUGAAGAGGUGAUAGUUGGAGGAGGGAAUAUGACGUUGGGAGAAGAAGAAGGUUUUCACUGGAAGAAAAAUAACUAAGAUCCCUUCUUUUGACAUGUGCAUCAAGAAUGAACAAAAAGAAGGUACAGAUUGGUUCAUCCAGAUUGUAAUCUUAAGUAGGUGAUAUUUUCUGCUUCGACAUUAGCUUUGGUUUUGGUGUUUUCUGCAGAACCAUGUCAAAAACAUUAAACUGAAGUGCUUUCAUAAUAUGUAGCUUUUAUUUUGAUUCUUUAUAUAUUUGAGAAGAGAUUAUGAUAACCAAGAUAUGUUGUAGCCAUGUUGUUACUAAGAAUACUGCCACACUGCUACGGUCUUGAAUUUGUGGAAGGCAGCAAUGUGCUUGGUCUGGAGUUGGUGUCGCCAUGUGCUAGCAGCCCAUCACUUGAUCUUGAGAUGGUCCCCUGCAUCGCGGAUGCCACAAAUAAGGAAGGCAGACAUCAUUGACGUGCGUGGUAAGAGCUCCAUCUCCCCCACCCAUAGCCCCCAACUUCUGUUUUGGAAGCAUGUCUUCAAUCUUCAUCACCAUCUGCGCCAGUAUCUUGCUUUUGCCUUUCUCCUGUCUUGUGCUCCACCAUUUGUCUCCCCAUCCAGACACACAAUAAACCAGCAUAUCUAAGAGGUCGGUGAGCUGAAGUUUUCCAUGCAGAGUAACUGUGAGAAACAGAAAUUGCUUGAGGCUACUGUGAGAUCUGAAAUCUACCAGUCGGAACUGGCGAACCUAAAAAGAACUUUGACCCUCAUUGGCUUUUUGUGUGGGUUUGCAUCUGUUAUGAUGUGUCUUUAUCAAGUUGCUCCUCCAUACCCCGAGACGCUUGAUGGUGCUGAAUCGUCCCAUCCACAGAGAAUGCAACCCGAGCUUCAUGCCCUUUCAUCCAACAGGAACUCUCUUCGGUGUUAUUUUUGUUGCCAUGAACAAACAGCUUAGAAAGUGAACGUCCCUGAACAUUAUGGAACUCUCAGUUAACUUUGUGUGGUUGGUGAACCUUGCGUUGCUGAUAAAUAUGUCUCUGAAUUUGGUCGAGCCUUGCAAUUUUUCACGUGUUAGAAGACUGUACUCACAUAAAACAGAGUAUUGGUCUAUGGAACUGGAGGCAGUGAGUUUCAAUUCUUAUGAAUUGAUGUUUCUUUAUUUAUUUAGAGCUUCUGUUCAGAUCAUUGACGUUUGCAUAUCCCCUGUUUGUAGUAUAAUUUUGUGUCUCAUAUUAUGACUGCCAUUUUUUUCCUCUACAGCAUGUAAAUUUCGGAUUCAGUUUACUGAUCUUUGAAAGUCAUGUAUAACUUGGCAGAAAUGUUAUCCCUACAAAUAAGAACACCUUUAUUCUUUAUUGUGCAGCAACCAUGUUGACAAGCUGGCAUCUUUGUUCUAUUCUAUUGACUUCAUGUGGCAUUAUGUAUGAAGCCCUUUAAGCACAAACCUCGCAAGGACCGUCAUGGGAUUUGGAGUGCUCAAUGGCAUCUUAAUUGGACUUCUCAAUCAGAGUCUAGGUUUCAACUCUGUUGAGUUCUAUCAGAGCAAGUCGAGCGCAUUAGUUGGAUCCAGCUUCUUGAUAUUGCAGAGGGACUCGUCAAAAGGACGGCGCCUCCCUGCGUUCUCGAUCUGACGCCCGCCACAUAUCGUGAUUCUGGAUUGGGCGCAGGUCGUCGCCAUAAGAGAGCCUGGCUGGUGUGGUCUUCAUGCUUGGUGUGGAGAAGCAGGGGAGGAUGAGUAGGAUGGGCAUGGGGAAGGAGCAGCCAGGCCAGAGCUCUGGCGUUGCUUGCGUCAUGGUCAAAUGGAGCCGGCCCUCGCUAUGGGCUGCUGAUCGCCGGUCGUCGUUCCCCAAUCUCAGUUGCUCAUCUUUGGCUCACCAUCUUCCUCCCCUGAUCAUGCAUCUAUUUUAGAUCAUUUAAUUAUGCUAUAUCAUAUAUGUUGUUUAGUUCAGGCUUGUGCAUGUGCAUGCAUUGGCAUUGAUUUAGACAGAGAUAUUGCAUGAUUUGUACAUAAAAGGAGUACGGGUGAUCUAAGAAUAAAUGUUCGAAUAUAGUAGUGAGAUUUGGGUAGAGGUUACCUGCACUGUUCUGUUUUAUGUAGAUUCUAAGCUGCAAAAUCAUACAUGGUCCUGUUAGUAGUUUGUUUGAGUUGUGAGUUUACGCAUUUUCCCUUGGAA